Molecule: long non-coding RNA, 425 nt
Organism: Hippocampus zosterae (dwarf seahorse)
Lineage: Eukaryota; Metazoa; Chordata; Actinopteri; Syngnathiformes; Syngnathidae
Exons: 3
Source: RefSeq, a predicted model, not a curated record
AUGCGGUUGGGGGGGUCCCUGAGCAGACGUCCCGACAGCGAGCAAUUGUGGAAGUAAGUCUUGUGCACGCGGAUGAAGAAGUCGUCCACCAGCAGGUUGGGCCAGAAGCAGUCCAUCUUGAGCGCCACCAGAAAGGCACUCGUGGAACUUUGAGCCGACUUUGUACUUCGAUCGAGAAAGCGGCCUUGGUGUACAUCGGGGCCAAAAGAAGAGCGAUGCCAUCUUUGCCGGAGGGAUUCUCACAGGGCGCCAAAGAGGUUGUGAACAUUUGCGUGACAAGUGACCAAAGACUGCGGGACCGAGGUGACUUCUCGCACAGCUCACAAAAAGAGCGUCCGUGGUCACCCAGAUGGACUCUGGCGAUAACAAGUUCUUACAAAAGCUCAAUUCGAGGGCGUACUUUGCCAGCUCGUGUUAGAAGACGG